GACGAACGCUGGCGGCGUGCUUAACACAUGCAAGUCGAACGGUGAAGCGCCUUCCUUUUUGGUGGGUGUGGAUGAGUGGCGAACGGGUGAGUAACACGUGAGUAACCUGCCCCCUUCUUCUGGAUAACCGCAUGAAAGUGUGGCUAAUACGGGAUAUUCUGGGUCUGUCGCAUGAUGGGUCUGGGAAAGAUAUUGUUUCGGGGGGGGAUGGGCUCGCGGCCUAUCAGCUUGUUGGUGGGGGGAUGGCCUACCAAGGGGGUGUCGGGUAGCCGGCCUGAGAGGGUGGACGGUCACACGGGGACUGAGACACGGGCCAGACUCCUACGGGAGGCAGCAGUGGGGAAUAUGGCACAAUGGGCGCCAGCCUGAUGCAGCGACGCCGCGUGAGGGAUGGAGGCCUUCGGGUUGUGAACCUCUUUCGCCAGUGAAGCAGGCCUGCCUCGUUUGUGGGUGGGUUGACGGUAGCUGGAUAAGAAGCGCCGGCUAACUACGUG
Molecule: ribosomal RNA, 494 nt
Filed under: uncultured bacterium
Lineage: Bacteria
Description: partial 16S ribosomal RNA
Rfam family: Bacterial small subunit ribosomal RNA
Source: RNAcentral